RNAcentral lists this ribosomal RNA (618 nucleotides) under uncultured Gammaproteobacteria bacterium. RNAcentral's name for it is "bacterial SSU rRNA". It matches the Rfam family "Bacterial small subunit ribosomal RNA", at positions 1 to 615 of the family's 1533-position model. Lineage: Bacteria; Pseudomonadati; Pseudomonadota; Gammaproteobacteria. The record is from RNAcentral.
UGAGUUUGAUCAUGGCUCAGAUUGAACGCUGGCGGCAGGCCUAACACAUGCAAGUCGAGCGGAAACGAAGAGGUGCUUGCACCUCUGGCGUCGAGCGGCGGACGGGUGAGUAAUGCUUGGGAAUAUGCCUUAUGGUGGGGGACAACAGUUGGAAACGACUGCUAAUACCGCAUAAUGUCUACGGACCAAAGUGGGGGACCUUCGGGCCUCACGCCAUAAGAUUAGCCCAAGUGGGAUUAGCUAGUUGGUGAGGUAAUGGCUCACCAAGGCGACGAUCCCUAGCUGGUUUGAGAGGAUGAUCAGCCACACUGGGACUGAGACACGGCCCAGACUCCUACGGGAGGCAGCAGUGGGGAAUAUUGCACAAUGGGCGCAAGCCUGAUGCAGCCAUGCCGCGUGUGUGAAGAAGGCCUUCGGGUUGUAAAGCACUUUCAGUAAGGAGGAAAGGUUAAGUGUUAAUAGCACUUAGCUGUGACGUUACUUACAGAAGAAGCACCGGCUAACUCCGUGCCAGCAGCCGCGGUAAUACGGAGGGUGCGAGCGUUAAUCGGAAUUACUGGGCGUAAAGCGUACGCAGGCGGCUUGUUAAGCGAGAUGUGAAAGCCCCGGGCUCAACCU